CCAUGCCCUGUGCCUACGUCCAGUCCCCAAGCAACCCGCUUGAGAUUUCCACCAUCUUGUAAAAUGUCUUUUACAAAGUCUAAACCACACAUAGACAACCUUUCCCUUGCGUUCAUAAAUCCUUACAACUUAAGAGACCAUCGGUCCCUUAAUCAAUUUCUUUGCAUGAGAAGAAGAAGAAGAAUUCUCUCUUUAAGAGAAAGAUAUUACAAUUGAAGAUCACUCAAGAUUCCUUAUUGAAUUUGCAAGUGUUUUGGCCUAGGAAUUUUUUUUAGAGUUAUAAGACAAUUUGUUUAGGAAAACUCUCUAAGGAAUUUCGUAACCCAAGUCACCAAUUUAUAGGCCUUUGAUGGCCAUUCAAAAAUCUCUUGAACAGAUGUGACUCUUAGGAGUUAUUUUCGAAAAUUCCUUAUUGGUAAUCGAUUACAUAAAAGUGAUAAUCGAUUACAUAGUUAGUUUC
RNAcentral lists this long non-coding RNA (460 nucleotides) under Glycine max (soybean). Its description in RNAcentral is "long non-coding RNA (GMAX_LNC002616)". Lineage: Eukaryota; Viridiplantae; Streptophyta; Magnoliopsida; Fabales; Fabaceae. The record is from RNAcentral.